ACAAUUUGUGUUUUACUUUUUCAAAAUAGUAAAUUGACUAUUGUACAAAUUCAAAAUGCAUCUCAUCAAUAAAAUUAAAAGAUUAAUAAAUAAUGCCAACCAGUGUUGAAAUGUUGGUAGCAGUCUCAAAAAGGGCAAUGGUUGUAUUGUAUCUGGGGCAUAUGAAGAGGUGUUAGGGCAAUUAGUGUGAAAUGUAAGUACUAAAGUUGGAGGAAGGCAUUUGCAGAGGAAGAGAAAGGAAAUCUGAAAUGUGAAUGUUUUAGUUAAGUAUUGAAGAUUUGAAGCAUUGCAUGUUAGUUGUUGAAGAAGUGGCGCUUCUCCUUCUUCUUCUUCUUUGGGUAUUAUUGAAUUGAAUGGAAUGAGGCAAUGAUGAUGGAUGGGUGGUUGUGGCGAGGCGUUUGUGUCAAUGUUGUAGAUUCAUUGUAUACACGCAGUCACCAUCAUCAUCAUUAUCUCUUUCUGAGCCUCUUUCCGUUACUUACUAGUUUGUGAGGCUUUUAGGGAAUUACUUUCUCUCUUUGCCAAUGAUCAUUCAUUCCUAUUUCCUAUACCACCAUCAUCAACUUCAUCAUGGAAAAUAUGGGGACCUUAUCUGUCUUUCUUUUUCUUCUUCUUCUUCUGGAUAUAACAACAAGGCAGUGAUGAUAUCAUCUUUGUUUCAUGCAGCAUGGAUCUGUCAUUGGCUAAGGCGCUCAAAGUCGCAGCCAUGCUCUUCACUAUCUGAGCCUCCUAUCCUAUUCUUCAUAUCAUGCUAUGCAUCUUUUUUUUACUUUUCCCCAUCUCCCACUUCUAUUUAUGCUUUUCUGCCAUUUCUGACUCGCUCAUAUUCAUUAUUAGGGUUUUCACUCUCUCUAUUUCUGUACUCUUUCAAAAACAUCCACUUCACGGACAACUUUGGAGCUGCCACUUGACCUACUUUGGUCAUUUUCAAUCUUCUAAUCAGGAAGAUCGAUAUUAAGGUGGUACAAACAAAACAUAAGAUGCCAAUAUCUAAAGAACCUAAACAAUUGGGAAAUUGAUUCUGUUGAUGAUAUGUAAAUGGGGUACAUUUCUUUUCUCUCAAACUGGUAAAUUAUGAACCAUUUAGUUUAGCCAACCAAGUUAGUGGAGAUGCAAGUGUCACAGCUUGGAUUCCAUCUGGUUUAAGCUCAUUCCUGUGAGGCCAAGUAGCUUCCAUUCGAUUUAACUGACUUUUCAUUGGAGGUUCAGAGUAAAUAUGAUUCCGGCAACAAAGAAUCUCCAAGUUGUCCCUACUUUAUCUUUUAUUGCUUUUACGUGUGUUAUCUGAUAAAAGUGUUCUAUCCAGAAUACUGCUUCAUAGUGCAUACUAUCAUGCAUAAAUAUGUUGUUCCUUCUUGACCUAACUUUUGGAUAUACCUGUUUUCUUUUCCAGUACUUCUGAUUGUAGUCUUUCAAAAGUUCCACUUCAGAGUCAACUUUGGAGCUGGCCGCUAUCAUCAAAACUGGAAGAUCCUAAAGGGACAACAAAUUGGUUAACAUCCUCAUACCCAUGGCAAAGAUAAAUUCAUAAUCAACUGAAAAUUUUGUCAAUCUUUAAUUCAAGGUGCUCCAGCCUUGUUUUGGUAUACAGAAUAAAUUUUAUUUCUCUGCAGAGAAGAGUGAUAAUAAUUAUAACUCUAAUUUGAUGAAGAGAUGUCGAAUGUUUGCAAAACAGGAUGUCUAAUCGUUAUAUUAUAUCUCUUGAACUUCUCUCUUAAUUGCAACAUAAGCAACAAGAACUACAGGAAUGAAUGCUACUUGCCAGACUAUGGUUUUCAUGGUCGAGAACGCACACAGAUUGAGGAAUGGUUUGGUUUGUUGAAGUGCUGCUUCUGGUUCGUUGGGUAUUGAAUUGAAUGAGGCAGUGAUGAUGGGUGGAUGAUUCUGGCAAGGCGUUUCUAUCAUGUUGACGCAGCCAGCCAUCUCUCUCUCUUUCUGAGCCUCUUCCUUUGCAACUACUCACUAGUUUGUGAGGCUUUGCUGCUCUCUGAGAUGACCCUGUCUGUCUGAGUUGCUCUCAUUGUCAAUGAUCAUUCGAACUUCUCUCUCUCUCUCUCUACACACAAACAACAACAACAACAACAAUACAACCUCUCUUUCUUUCUCUCUCUCUUUCACUCAUUCUCAUCAAAUCCAAACCAAACAGAACCCUUCUUGAUCUCCUUUCUUCUUCUUCUUUGGGAUAUAAUGAGGCAAUGAUGAUAUUUCAUGCUACUGAUUCAGACAUGUGAGUGAAGUAAAGAGAUGGAUAUUGGCGAGGUGACUUUGUGUCUGUGGAUCCUUCCAUAGACGCACACAGUUGCAGCCAUGCUCAUGAUCCUCCUCUUCACUCUCUUCUCUGACAAAACACCUAAAUCUGAGCCUUGUGUUCAUGUUCAACAUCCUCACUCAUCAUCAUUCUCCCCUUCUUUCUAGCUUAACUUCCCUUUCUAAAACAACAUUUGUUAAUGUUUUCAGUCCGGCUUUGUCAAAUAGUGACUAUAGUGGUUCUAUAGCACUACAAUAUACUGGAAUUUAACAAACUGUUGUUGUCUACAAUCUGCAAUAUGUCCAUCACUGUUGUCAAAGAGUGCCAUUAUAGUCUAUAGCAUAGCAUAAUUUGAGCAAACCACUGUUCUCAUCGAUCCAUGAUUGACAACAUUGUUUCAGUCAUCUUGUCCCUAUGCAUGUUUUCUACACUUAUCAUUAUUUCCUUUGCGUACCUUUUUUUCUCUAGUGGCUCUGUGUCUUUAUGCAAUUGAUUUUCUUAAAAGCACUAGCAUUGUGCAAGUAUUGGGAUCAGUUUAAAAAUAUAAAGGGGAGAGAAGUGGCUCGAAAUUAUAUUGAGCAAAAAUAUAAAGAGGAGAGAAGUGGCUCGAAAUUAUAUCGAGCAAAAAUAUAAAGAGGAGAGAAGUGGCUCAAAAGCAAGCAAAAGAAGGAGAAGAGAAAAAAUUGGGAAUUGCAUCCAACUUUUAAUAUGUUUUUCACAAGAACUUGGAACUCUUUAUAUAGUAAUGGAAGUUAUUUCAUAUGUUUAAAUUAUUCGAUGUGAGACUUUAUCAUUUAUAAGUUAAAAGAUAAUCAAUGUGUGAGAGUUUUCCAA
Molecule: long non-coding RNA, 3082 nt
Organism: Cicer arietinum (chickpea)
Lineage: Eukaryota; Viridiplantae; Streptophyta; Magnoliopsida; Fabales; Fabaceae
Source: RefSeq, a predicted model, not a curated record